UUUUUCAUCUGUGUAUUUCAGUGCUCUUUUAGCUAGAGGCCUGGUGACUGGUCUAUCUGAAUUGCUCGUGGGAUUCUGAAUGUACUUGCAAGUGGGCAAAUAGAGGUCAUCGGAAUCAUCUCCUGAACCACUUGAUUCACAGAGGCUCACUUCAGACUCGUUGUUUUCUUCUCUAUUAGAGUCAUUGCUCACUUUUUGUCGGAAAGGAGUAAGAUGAACACCCUCUUCCAAAUUAAAAUUUAAACGUUCCUGGCUGAAUCAGCUUUGGUGAUAAGUUAACUUGGUCCUUGCUCCAUUGACAAGCAUUGUGUUGUACAUUUUCAGAGAAUUUUCUACUCUAGACAUUAAACAGAUUUAGGGACUCCAGGAAGGCCGGGGGGAGGUGGGGCUGGCGGAAGUGGACGCGGCGACCCUCCUGCCGCAGGCGCGUCCAGAACGAUACCUUGGCCACUACUUCUGCAACAGCUAUCUUCCUCCUCCUCACAUUUCAAGGCUCUUC
Molecule: long non-coding RNA, 499 nt
Organism: Homo sapiens (human)
Lineage: Eukaryota; Metazoa; Chordata; Mammalia; Primates; Hominidae
Gene: SGO1-AS1
Product: SGO1 antisense RNA 1
Source: Ensembl